Long non-coding RNA from Liolophura sinensis, 1086 nucleotides. RefSeq lists it as uncharacterized. The transcript is spliced from 2 exons. The record is from RefSeq and is a predicted model, not a curated record. Lineage: Eukaryota; Metazoa; Mollusca; Polyplacophora; Chitonida; Chitonidae.
CUAAUCGUGACCAGGACACAAAAACUUAAGUCAAAAAGAACAAAGCACAAAAUGAGAAAUGCUGAAUUGACUGGUCGUUAAUACAGAUAUUUGGUAGAAAAGAAAUCAUGCAUGUCGGUGUUUGUAAACACUUACGUGGCAUGCAUCUUAGUCAACAAGACUACAACCGUCAGUCAAAUUUUCCUAUAAAUACAGCGGAGUUGUCUGUAAUCUCAGCAAGUUUCUACAGCAGACUUCAUUUCAUUCACGAGGCAAUUUAAUCCAAGCCAUCAUCCUCGUCUUCGAGUCCUGUUCGGCAUUUAUUUUACUUCAGAUUAGCUUGGCACGAUGGUGAAAUCUGCAAUCUUCGUUUCUAUCACCGUUCUCUUCUGCUUGGUGAUCAGCUCUAAGGCUCAUCCCCGUCCCCCGGGACCACCCGGAUCACCACACGAUAGACCGGGACCCCCUCCGGAGAGAGACGGGAAUUUUACUUUGGAGGACAUCGAUGAUGCCAACUACACCAUAGACGAUGACGAGGAGCACAACAUUACUCGCGGUGGCCCUCAUAGUCGGCAUGGUAACCAUUCCCAUCGCGACAGAGAGGGCAACAGCACUAGGACAGAAGAGGGCAAUGACGACGAGUCAAAACACAGACGUCAUCCUCCCGCUCACAGAUUGAGGAGUGGCCAGUUCAUGUCAGAGGAAAGUAACGAGAAUGACGAGAGAGAAAGUGAGGAACGUCAUGAAAGCAGAAGAAUGAGGCCCCGCUUUCAAAGUUUCCACAGUUGGGUUCGUCCACGGGUCUUCAGGAAUUGGACUUCUCGCCGUCUCCUUGGCAACAGUCAGUAACAAGAAAUUGCAGGUCAUCUGUCAUUUUACACUAGGUGAAACGUAGAUGGCAUGUUGAGAUUAUGCGCCUUUUAAGACAGACUAAUACUUUAUCCCUCACCGAAUCUAUAAACCAUGAAGUCCGUUAGACUUUUUCUAACAAUAUUUUUGAAAUUAUAUAUCAUGUUUCAAUUUACAAAUGUAUGCCGGGUGCAUCUGAUGUUAAUAGUUUGUAAUAAAUGUUCUGAUUGCGGGACAAUCGGAUCAAACUUGUAAUAA